Podospora didyma is the source of this 82-nucleotide non-coding RNA. The record is from the annotation of a GenBank genome assembly. NCBI's taxonomy places the organism in Eukaryota, Fungi, Ascomycota, Sordariomycetes, Sordariales, Podosporaceae.
GGCCCGCUGGCUCAAUGGUAGAGCGUCUGACUACGAUACAAUAGUAAUCAGGAGGUUCCAGGUUCGAGACCUGGGUGGGUCG